UCAGUAAUAGGCUAAGCUGUCUCUCCUGA
This 29-nucleotide non-coding RNA is filed under the name Rattus norvegicus (Norway rat). Lineage: Eukaryota; Metazoa; Chordata; Mammalia; Rodentia; Muridae. The record is from RNAcentral.